This 1364-nucleotide ribosomal RNA is filed under the name Klebsiella pneumoniae. Its description in RNAcentral is "partial 23S ribosomal RNA". It matches the Rfam family "Bacterial large subunit ribosomal RNA", at positions 890 to 2236 of the family's 2925-position model. Lineage: Bacteria; Pseudomonadati; Pseudomonadota; Gammaproteobacteria; Enterobacterales; Enterobacteriaceae. The record is from RNAcentral.
UCAUCUUCGGGGGUAGAGCACUGUUUCGGCUAGGGGGUCAUCCCGACUUACCAACCCGAUGCAAACUACGAAUACCGAAGAAUGUUAUCACGGGAGACACACGGCGGGUGCUAACGUCCGUCGUGAAGAGGGAAACAACCCAGACCGCCAGCUAAGGUCCCAAAGUCAUGGUUAAGUGGGAAACGAUGUGGGAAGGCACAGACAGCCAGGAUGUUGGCUUAGAAGCAGCCAUCAUUUAAAGAAAGCGUAAUAGCUCACUGGUCGAGUCGGCCUGCGCGGAAGAUGUAACGGGGCUAAACCAUGCACCGAAGCUGCGGCAGCGACACUAUGUGUUGUUGGGUAGGGGAGCGUUCUGUAAGCCUGCGAAGGUGUGCUGUGAGGCAUGCUGGAGGUAUCAGAAGUGCGAAUGCUGACAUAAGUAACGAUAAAGCGGGUGAAAAGCCCGCUCGCCGGAAGACCAAGGGUUCCUGUCCAACGUUAAUCGGGGCAGGGUGAGUCGACCCCUAAGGCGAGGCCGAAAGGCGUAGUCGAUGGGAAACAGGUUAAUAUUCCUGUACUUGGUGUUACUGCGAAGGGGGGACGGAGAAGGCUAUGUUAGCCGGGCGACGGUUGUCCCGGUUUAAGCAUGUAGGCUGGUUAUCCAGGCAAAUCCGGAUAAUCAAGGCUGAGGUGUGAUGACGAGGCACUACGGUGCUGAAGUAACAAAUGCCCUGCUUCCAGGAAAAGCCUCUAAGCAUCAGGUAACAUCAAAUCGUACCCCAAACCGACACAGGUGGUCAGGUAGAGAAUACCAAGGCGCUUGAGAGAACUCGGGUGAAGGAACUAGGCAAAAUGGUGCCGUAACUUCGGGAGAAGGCACGCUGGUGUGUAGGUGAAGUCCCUGCGGAUGGAGCUGAGACCAGUCGAAGAUACCAGCUGGCUGCAACUGUUUAUUAAAAACACAGCACUGUGCAAACACGAAAGUGGACGUAUACGGUGUGACGCCUGCCCGGUGCCGGAAGGUUAAUUGAUGGGGUUAUCCGUAAGGAGAAGCUCUUGAUCGAAGCCCCGGUAAACGGCGGCCGUAACUAUAACGGUCCUAAGGUAGCGAAAUUCCUUGUCGGGUAAGUUCCGACCUGCACGAAUGGCGUAAUGAUGGCCAGGCUGUCUCCACCCGAGACUCAGUGAAAUUGAACUCGCUGUGAAGAUGCAGUGUACCCGCGGCAAGACGGAAAGACCCCGUGAACCUUUACUAUAGCUUGACACUGAACAUUGAGCCUUGAUGUGUAGGAUAGGUGGGAGGCUUUGAAGCGUGGACGCCAGUCUGCGUGGAGCCAACCUUGAAAUACCACCCUUUAAUGUUUGAUGUUCUAACGUUGGCCCCU